GACACCCGUGGCCUAACGGUUAGCGCCCCUGUCUUAGAAAUUCCAAUCGCGGGUUCAAACCCCACCGGGGCCA
Non-coding RNA from Caenorhabditis brenneri, 73 nucleotides. The record is from the annotation of a GenBank genome assembly. NCBI's taxonomy places the organism in Eukaryota, Metazoa, Nematoda, Chromadorea, Rhabditida, Rhabditidae.